AACGACUCUCGGCAACGGAUAUCUCGGCUCUCGCAUCGAUGAAGAACGUAGCGAAAUGCGAUACUUGGUGUGAAUUGCAGAAUCCCGUGAACCAUCGAGUCUUUGAACGCAAGUUGCGCCCGACGCCUUCGGGCUGAGGGCACGCCUGCCUGGGCGUCAC
This 160-nucleotide ribosomal RNA is filed under the name Plantago lanceolata (narrow-leaved plantain). RNAcentral describes it as "5.8S ribosomal RNA". It matches the Rfam family "5.8S ribosomal RNA". From Rfam's summary of the family: 5.8S ribosomal RNA (5.8S rRNA) is a component of the large subunit of the eukaryotic ribosome. It is transcribed by RNA polymerase I as part of the 45S precursor that also contains 18S and 28S rRNA. Lineage: Eukaryota; Viridiplantae; Streptophyta; Magnoliopsida; Lamiales; Plantaginaceae. The record is from RNAcentral.